Molecule: ribosomal RNA, 501 nt
Filed under: uncultured bacterium
Lineage: Bacteria
Description: partial 16S ribosomal RNA
Rfam family: Bacterial small subunit ribosomal RNA
Source: RNAcentral
AUUGAACGCUGGCGGCAGGCUUAACACAUGCAAGUCGAGCGGGGGAAGGUAGCUUGCUACCGGACCUAGCGGCGGACGGGUGAGUAAUGCUUAGGAAUCUGCCUAUUAGUGGGGGACAACAUCUCGAAAGGGAUGCUAAUACCGCAUACGUCCUACGGGAGAAAGCAGGGGAUCUUCGGACCGUGCGCUAAUAGAUGAGCCUAAGUCGGAUUAGCUAGUUGGUGGGGUAAAGGCCUACCAAGGCGACGACCUGUAGCGGGUCUGAGAGGAUGAUACGCCACACUGGGACUGGGACACGGCCCAGACUCCUGCGGGAGGCAGCAGUGGGGAAUAUUGGACAAUGGGGGGAACCCUGAUCCAGCCAUGCCGCGUGUGUGAAGAAGGCCUUAUGGUUGUAAAGCACUUUAAGCGAGGAGGAGGCUACUCUAGUUAAUACCUAGGGAUAGUGGACGUUACUCGCAGAAUAAGCACCGGCUAACUCUGUGCCAGCAGCCGCCGUAA